UGGUCCCAACCUUGAAGUCAGUUUUUACUUAAUUUAUACAUGCAAGUCUCCGCACCCCUGUGAGAACGCCCUUAAUUUCCUAAUCGGGACAAGGAGCCGGUAUCAGGCGCAACUUUUAGCCCAAAACACCUAGUUCAACCACGCCCACAAGGGUUUUCAGCAGUAAUUAACAUUGAGCAUAAGCGACAGCUUGACUCAGUUAAGGUAAGCAGGGCCGGCAAAUCUGGUGCCAGCCGCCGCGGUUACACCACGGGGCCCAAAUUGACUUCUUUCGGCGUAAAGCGUGAUUAAAGUGAUAAUUAAACUAUAGUUUUACCAAGACUAGGCUGUGACACGCUUAUCAUUGAGAAACCCAUAAACGAAAGUUAUUAUAUUUAGCAUACUUGAGUACACGACAGCUGGGAAACAAACUGGGAUUAGAUACCCCACUAUGCCCAGCCGUAAACUUUUAUUUACAAUUUUAUCGCCCGGGAACUACGAGCCAAGCUUAAAACCCAAGGGACUUGACGGUACCCCAUAUCCCCCUAGAGGAGCCUGUCCUAUAAUCGAUAACCCCCGCUUGACCUCACCAUCUUUAGCAUGCCAGCCUGUAUACCUCCGUCGCCAGCUUACCCCGUGAGUGACCCUCAGUGAGCUCAAUGUCCCAACGUCAAUACGUCAGGUCAAGGUGCAGUAAAUAAGAUGGGAAGAGAUGGGCUACACUCUCUAAUUUAGAGAACACGAAAGAUCUCAUGAAAUUUGAUCAGAAGGCGGAUUUAGAAGUAAAAAGAGACCAUAGAGCUCCUUUUAACCCGGCACUGGGGUGUGUACACACCGCCCGUCACCCUCCUCAAAGCCUAAACAUAGUAGCUAACACAGAUGAGCUAAAUAGAGGAGGCAAGUCGUAACAUGGUAAGUAUACCGGAAGGUGUGCUUGGAAA
This 920-nucleotide non-coding RNA is filed under the name Ecnomiohyla rabborum (Rabbs' fringe-limbed treefrog). RNAcentral's name for it is "partial 12S ribosomal RNA". It matches the Rfam family "Bacterial small subunit ribosomal RNA". The record is from RNAcentral. Lineage: Eukaryota; Metazoa; Chordata; Amphibia; Anura; Hylidae.